AUUGAACGCUGGCGGCAUGCCUUACACAUGCAAGUCGAACGGCAGCACGGGAGCAAUCCUGGUGGCGAGUGGCGAACGGGUGAGUAAAGUAUCGGAACGUGCCCAGUCGUGGGGGCUAGCGUAGCGAAAGUUACGCUAAUACCGCAUACGACCUAUGGAUGAAAGCGGGGGAUCGCAAGACCUCGCGCGAUUGGAGCGGCCGAUAUCAGAUUAGGUAGUCGGUGGGGUAAAGGCUCACCAAGCCGACGAUCUGUAGCUGGUCUGAGAGGACGACCAGCCACACUGGGACUGAGACACGGCCCAGACUCCUACGGGAGGCAGCAGUGGGGAAUUUUGGACAAUGGGCGAAAGCCUGAUCCAGCCAUGCCGCGUGCAGGAUGAAGGCCUUCGGGUUGUAAACUGCUUUUGUACGGAACGAAAAGGUUUGUGCUAAUAAGCUGAGCUCAUGACGGUACCGUAAGAAUAAGCACCGGCUAACUACGUGCCAGCAGCCGCAGUAA
RNAcentral lists this ribosomal RNA (500 nucleotides) under uncultured bacterium. RNAcentral's name for it is "partial 16S ribosomal RNA". It matches the Rfam family "Bacterial small subunit ribosomal RNA", at positions 30 to 523 of the family's 1533-position model. The record is from RNAcentral.